RNAcentral lists this ribosomal RNA (253 nucleotides) under uncultured bacterium. RNAcentral describes it as "partial 16S ribosomal RNA". It matches the Rfam family "Bacterial small subunit ribosomal RNA", at positions 524 to 776 of the family's 1533-position model. The record is from RNAcentral.
UACGUAGGGUGCGAGCGUUAAUCGGAAUUACUGGGCGUAAAGCGUGCGCAGGCGGUUUUGUAAGCCAGAUGUGAAAUCCCCGGGCUUAACCUGGGAAUGGCAUUUGGGACUGCAAGGCUUGAGUGCGGCAGAGGAGACUGGAAUUCCUGGUGUAGCAGUGAAAUGCGUAGAUAUCAGGAGGAACACCGAUGGCGAAGGCAGGUCUCUGGGCUGACACUGACGCUCAUGCACGAAAGCUAGGGGAGCGAACAGG